ACACUGGUCGCCGUCAAGAGAUCUUUAUUGGAGGUAUCGAGCAGCACCACACAAGGAGAAGGAAGAGAAGAGAGAGAGAGGGCUGCUGCUGUGCUGGGUUUUAUAUCCCUUGGGCCUAGGUGGAUUGGGCUAGGGGCGGGCCCAAGGGAAGGCGGGAGAUGCUUCUUUCUGAUUGGCCCUCCUUUGGCGGGUUCAGACAGUGCCCGGUCAAGGAGGGGAGAAGAACCCGGAACCGGCCCCAUCUUAAGGUACCGCGCCAUUUUAAGGUACCCCAUGUUACCUAACACUCUCGCCUACUUUUUUGACUGUGAUAAUUACCACUACCCUAGAAAACACCUACCUCUAUUUCAGGAUGGACAACUUGAGUCCUAAAGCGAAUAUACUUUAGAGGGGACUGACGGCCUCCGCACUUGUCCUGCAGACUGUGCUCAUUCCUCUGCACCCCUGGGCUGUCUGGGGGAGAGGAGCUGCAAGCGGCCAUUUCCAUUCUCUUCCUUCUGCUUCUCUGGUGGAUAAUUCCUGCCGGCCAUUUAACGCUCAAGCGGGAGUACUGGGAAAGGAAGAGCACGGUCCCUUUAAAUGAUACGGAAGCGGGGAAGGAAAGUGCUGGGUAGAGGAGGGCAGGGUCCCUGGCUAGGCCUCUAGCCCCAGGGACCUAGGUGAGGACCGGCACUCCUGCUUUUCCCAGACACCCUGGCCCGCCACGCCCCCACCCUGGGCCUAUAAAAAACCCAAGACCCUAGCAAGGCAGAGACAGAAGCUGCUGGAGGGCCAGAGGAACGCCUCAGUGGAAGAAGACAAGCGGCUGGUCACGGAGAGCACGUCAGCAGAAGAACACACCUACAGACGCCGGCUCGCCCGCCGGCUCCCCGGCAGGCCAUCGACCGGUGGGACGAGGUGGAGUUAGGCCCGGGCAGUAGGAGGACAGCCCGGGCACCCAGCAGCCCAACUCCAGGGGAAAGCCAUCUCCCUUCUGGAGCUGCCCAGCUCCAGGGGAAAACCAUCUCCUUUCUGACGCCCCUAUCGGUGGAGAGUUACUUCCACUCAAGACAAUUUUGCAGUCAUUCUCCAAGCCCACGUGUGAUCCGAGUCUUCCGGUACACCAGGGCAAGAACCCGGGAUACAGAAAGCCCUCUGGCCUUAUGACAGGGUAGAGGGUCUCAUUGAGCUAUAGACGAUGAACUAAGAGCGCACUCUGGAACACACGCCCUCUGGGACUUCAGCUGUAAACAUCCACCCCUAGACACUGCCAUGGGGUCGGAGCCCCACAACCUGCCCAUCUGUAUGCCCCGCUAGAGGUUUGAGCAACGGGGCACUGAAGAAGCGAGCACACCUCAUGGAGUUACACUCUUGUUGUCCAAGCUGGAGUGCAAUGGCAUGAUCUCAGCUCACCUCCAUCUCCACCUCCACCUCCUGGGUUCAAGCGAUUCUCCUGCCUCAGCCUCCCGAGUAGCUGGGAUUACAGAGUCUGGCUGGCCUGGAACGUGCCAUGACUGUAGAAUACGAUAGGAGGGAGACUGUACCAGCUCCAAGCCAGCUUUUCUGAUACCUGCAGCUUCUGGUUCCUCUGGAGGAGAAGUCAGCCACUAGGUAAGAAGUCAACUCACACUGAGGCCGCCAUGCAGGGAGGAAGCCUAAGCCAGCCCAGUGGGGAGGCCACAUGGUGGACAACUGAGGAACCCAGUGGGCAAAUUGAGACCCCAGACAUGAAUCCAGGUGAGUCAUCCCAGUCCUUCGUAUGAUUGCAGCCACAGCUCCCAUUAUUAUGGCUCAGAGAUGAUCCAUAUCUCCUCUCCCCUGAGCAAAUUCUCACCCAAAGAAUCAUGAGGAACUAAAAUGAUUGUUCUUUCAUGUUACUAUGUUUAGAGGUGGUUUGUUCCAUUACAAUAGACAACUGAAGCAAGCAUGCAGAACCUUACUUUCCAGAAAUGGAGAAGGACAGUGGAGGGUUUGUGUGGAUGAGAAGCAAGCACAAGUAUUUCUGUCACCUUUGUGGCUGAAAAGUAUUGCAGGUGCAAUUUAAAAAGCCCCGUGGAUAAACAGCUCAUGUAGGUCCAAGUCCAGGCUUUGAAUGCAUUACGUUUCCCUUGUUGGAAGCA
Symphalangus syndactylus (siamang) is the source of this 2099-nucleotide long non-coding RNA. RefSeq lists it as uncharacterized. Lineage: Eukaryota; Metazoa; Chordata; Mammalia; Primates; Hylobatidae. The record is from RefSeq and is a predicted model, not a curated record.